GGUUAAGCGACUAAGCGUACACGGUGGAUGCCCUGGCAGUCAGAGGCGAUGAAGGACGUGCUAAUCUGCGAUAAGCGUCGGUAAGGUGAUAUGAACCGUUAUAACCGGCGAUUUCCGAAUGGGGAAACCCAGUGUGAUUCGUCACACUAUCAUUAACUGAAUCCAUAGGUUAAUGAGGCGAACCGGGGGAACUGAAACAUCUAAGUACCCCGAGGAAAAGAAAUCAACCGAGAUUCCCCCAGUAGCGGCGAGCGAACGGGGAGCAGCCCAGAGCCUGAAUCAGUGUGUGUGUUAGUGGAAGCGUCUGGAAAGGCGUGCGAUACAGGGUGACAGCCCCGUACACAAAAAUGCACAUACUGUGAGCUCGAUGAGUAGGGCGGGACACGUGGUAUCCUGUCUGAAUAUGGGGGGACCAUCCUCCAAGGCUAAAUACUCCUGACUGACCGAUAGUGAACCAGUACCGUGAGGGAAAGGCGAAAAGAACCCCGGCGAGGGGAGUGAAAAAGAACCUGAAACCGUGUACGUACAAGCAGUGGGAGCACGCUUAGGCGUGUGACUGCGUACCUUUUGUAUAAUGGGUCAGCGACUUAUAUUCUGUAGCAAGGUUAACCGAAUAGGGGAGCCGAAGGGAAACCGAGUCUUAACUGGGCGUUAAGUUGCAGGGUAUAGACCCGAAACCCGGUGAUCUAGCCAUGGGCAGGUUGAAGGUUGGGUAACACUAACUGGAGGACCGAACCGACUAAUGUUGAAAAAUUAGCGGAUGACUUGUGGCUGGGGGUGAAAGGCCAAUCAAACCGGGAGAUAGCUGGUUCUCCCCGAAAGCUAUUUAGGUAGCGCCUCGUGAAUUCAUCUCCGGGGGUAGAGCACUGUUUCGGCAAGGGGGUCAUCCCGACUUACCAACCCGAUGCAAACUGCGAAUACCGGAGAAUGUUAUCACGGGAGACACACGGCGGGUGCUAACGUCCGUCGUGAAGAGGGAAACAACCCAGACCGCCAGCUAAGGUCCCAAAGUCAUGGUUAAGUGGGAAACGAUGUGGGAAGGCCCAGACAGCCAGGAUGUUGGCUUAGAAGCAGCCAUCAUUUAAAGAAAGCGUAAUAGCUCACUGGUCGAGUCGGCCUGCGCGGAAGAUGUAACGGGGCUAAACCAUGCACCGAAGCUGCGGCAGCGACGCUUAUGCGUUGUUGGGUAGGGGAGCGUUCUGUAAGCCUGUGAAGGUGUGCUGUGAGGUAUGCUGGAGGUAUCAGAAGUGCGAAUGCUGACAUAAGUAACGAUAAAGCGGGUGAAAAGCCCGCUCGCCGGAAGACCAAGGGUUCCUGUCCAACGUUAAUCGGGGCAGGGUGAGUCGACCCCUAAGGCGAGGCCGAAAGGCGUAGUCGAUGGGAAACAGGUUAAUAUUCCUGUACUUGGUGUUACUGCGAAGGGGGGACGGAGAAGGCUAUGUUGGCCGGGCGACGGUUGUCCCGGUUUAAGCGUGUAGGCUGGUUUUCCAGGCAAAUCCGGAAAAUCAAGGCCGAGGCGUGAUGACGAGGCACUACGGUGCUGAAGCAACAAAUGCCCUGCUUCCAGGAAAAGCCUCUAAGCAUCAGGUAACAUCAAAUCGUACCCCAAACCGACACAGGUGGUCAGGUAGAGAAUACCAAGGCGCUUGAGAGAACUCGGGUGAAGGAACUAGGCAAAAUGGUGCCGUAACUUCGGGAGAAGGCACGCUGAUACGUAGGUGAAGCGACUUGCUCGUGGAGCUGAAAUCAGUCGAAGAUACCAGCUGGCUGCAACUGUUUAUUAAAAACACAGCACUGUGCAAACACGAAAGUGGACGUAUACGGUGUGACGCCUGCCCGGUGCCGGAAGGUUAAUUGAUGGGGUUAGCGCAAGCGAAGCUCUUGAUCGAAGCCCCGGUAAACGGCGGCCGUAACUAUAACGGUCCUAAGGUAGCGAAAUUCCUUGUCGGGUAAGUUCCGACCUGCACGAAUGGCGUAAUGAUGGCCAGGCUGUCUCCACCCGAGACUCAGUGAAAUUGAACUCGCUGUGAAGAUGCAGUGUACCCGCGGCAAGACGGAAAGACCCCGUGAACCUUUACUAUAGCUUGACACUGAACAUUGAGCCUUGAUGUGUAGGAUAGGUGGGAGGCUUUGAAGUGUGGACGCCAGUCUGCAUGGAGCCGACCUUGAAAUACCACCCUUUAAUGUUUGAUGUUCUAACGUGGACCCGUGAUCCGGGUUGCGGACAGUGUCUGGUGGGUAGUUUGACUGGGGCGGUCUCCUCCUAAAGAGUAACGGAGGAGCACGAAGGUUGGCUAAUCCUGGUCGGACAUCAGGAGGUUAGUGCAAUGGCAUAAGCCAGCUUGACUGCGAGCGUGACGGCGCGAGCAGGUGCGAAAGCAGGUCAUAGUGAUCCGGUGGUUCUGAAUGGAAGGGCCAUCGCUCAACGGAUAAAAGGUACUCCGGGGAUAACAGGCUGAUACCGCCCAAGAGUUCAUAUCGACGGCGGUGUUUGGCACCUCGAUGUCGGCUCAUCACAUCCUGGGGCUGAAGUAGGUCCCAAGGGUAUGGCUGUUCGCCAUUUAAAGUGGUACGCGAGCUGGGUUUAGAACGUCGUGAGACAGUUCGGUCCCUAUCUGCCGUGGGCGCUGGAGAACUGAGGGGGGCUGCUCCUAGUACGAGAGGACCGGAGUGGACGCAUCACUGGUGUUCGGGUUGUCAUGCCAAUGGCACUGCCCGGUAGCUAAAUGCGGAAGAGAUAAGUGCUGAAAGCAUCUAAGCACGAAACUUGCCCCGAGAUGAGUUCUCCCUGACCCUUUAAGGGUCCUGAAGGAACGUUGAAGACGACGACGUUGAUAGGCCGGGUGUGUAAGCGCAGCGAUGCGUUGAGC
RNAcentral lists this ribosomal RNA (2870 nucleotides) under Shigella flexneri. RNAcentral describes it as "partial 23S ribosomal RNA". It matches the Rfam family "Bacterial large subunit ribosomal RNA". Lineage: Bacteria; Pseudomonadati; Pseudomonadota; Gammaproteobacteria; Enterobacterales; Enterobacteriaceae. The record is from RNAcentral.